RNAcentral lists this long non-coding RNA (22228 nucleotides) under Zea mays. RNAcentral's name for it is "long non-coding RNA (ZMAY_LNC005758)". Lineage: Eukaryota; Viridiplantae; Streptophyta; Magnoliopsida; Poales; Poaceae. The record is from RNAcentral.
GCCUUCGGUAUUAUUGAAAAUGGUCAUUCAUGGCUAUUUUCGGCAAAAUGGGGGUUGUGUGGCCAUUGAUCAUCGACCAGAGGCUCAUACACCUCACUACACAUAUGUUUCCUUGCCAUAGAUCACAUUCUUGGAUUUAUGGUGGAGACCAUUUCUUGGUCAAAAAUCCGUAGGUGUUAGCCUUCAGUGUCAUUGAAAAUGGUCGUUCAUGGCUAUUUUGACAAAAAGGGGGUUGUGUGGCCAUUGAUCAUCGACCAGAGGCUCGUACACUCACCCACAUAUGUUUCCUUGCCAUAGAUCACAUUCUUGGAUUUCUGGUGGAGACCAUUUCUUGGUCAAAAAUCCGUGGUGUUAGCCUUCGGUAUUAUUGAAAAUGGUCGUUCAUGGCAUUUUCGACAAAAUGGGGGUUGUGUGGCCAUUUAUCAUCGACCAGAGGCUCGUACACCUCACCCCACAUAUGUUUCCUUGCCAUAGAUCACAUUCUUGGAUUUCUGGUGGAGACCAUUUCUUGGUCAAAAAUCCGUAGUGUUAGCCUUCGGUAUUAUUGAAAAUGGUCGUUCAUGGCUAUUUUCGACAAAAAUGGGGGUUGUGUGGCCAUUAUCAUCGACCAGAGGCUCGUACACCUCACCCACAUAUGUUUCCUUGCCAUAGAUCACAUUCUUGGAUUUCUGGUGGAGACCAUUUCUUGGUCAAAAAUCCGAUGUGUUAGCCUUCGGUAUUAUUGAAAAUGGUCGUUCAUGGCUAUUUUCGACAAAAAUGGGGGUUGUGUGGCCAUUGAUCAUCGACCAGAGGCUCGUACACCUCACCCCACAUAUGUUUCCUUGCCAUAGAUCACAUUCUUGGAUUUCUGGUGGAGACCAUUUCUUGGUCAAAAAUCCGUAGUGUUAGCCUUCGGUAUUAUUGAAAAUGGUCGUUCAUGGCUAUUUUCGACAAAAAUGGGGGUUGUGUGGCCAUUGAUCAUCGACCAGAGGCUCAUACACCUCACUACACAUAUGUUUCCUUGCCAUAGAUCACAUUCUUGGAUUUAUGGUGGAGACCAUUUCUUGGUCAAAAAUCCAUAGGUGUUAGCCUUCGUGUAUUGAAAAUGGUCGUUCAUGGCUAUUUUCGACAAAAAUGGGGGUUGUGUGGCCAUUGAUCAUCGACCAGAGGCUCGUACACCUCACCCACAUAUGUUUCCUUGCCAUAGAUCACAUUCUUGGAUUUCUGGUGGAGACCAUUUCUUGGUCAAAAAUCCGUAGGUGUUAGCCUUCGGUAUUAUUGAAAAUGGUCGUUCAUGGCUAUUUUCGACAAAAAUGGGGGUUGUGUGGCCAUUGAUCAUCGACCAGAGGCUCAUACACCUCACCCCACAUAUGUUUCCUUGCCAUAGAUCACAUUCUUGGAUUUCUGGUGGAGACCAUUUCUUGGUCAAAAAUCCGUAGGUGUUAGCCUUCGGUAUUAUUGAAAAUGGUCGUUCAUGGCUAUUUUCACAAAAAUGGGGGUUGUGUGGCCAUUGAUCAUCGACCAGAGGCUCGUACACCUCACCCACAUAUGUUUCCUUGCCAUAGAUCACAUUCUUGGAUUUCUGGUGGAGACCAUUUCUUGGUCAAAAAUCGUAGUGUUAGCCUUCGGUAUUAUUGAAAAUGGUCGUUCAUGGCUAUUUUCGACAAAAUGGGGGUUGUGUGGCCAUUGAUCAUCGACCAGAGGCUCGUACACCUCACCCCACAUAUGUUUCCUUGCCAUAGAUCACAUUCUUGGAUUUCUGGUGGAGACCAUUUCUUGGUCAAAAAUCCGUAGUGUUAGCCUUCGGUAUUAUUGAAAAUGGUCGUUCAUGGCUAUUUUCGACAAAAAUGGGGGUUGUGUGGCCAUUGAUCAUCGACCAGAGGCUCGUACACCUCACCCCACAUAUGUUUCCUUGCCAUAGAUCACAUUCUUGGAUUUCUGGUGGAGACCAUUUCUUGGUCAAAAAUCCGUAGGUGUUAGCCUUCGGUAUUAUUGAAAAUGGUCGUUCAUGGCUAUUUUCGACAAAAAUGGGGGUUGUGUGGCCAUUGAUCAUCGACCAGAGGCUCGUACACCUCACCCCACAUAUGUUUCCUUGCCAUAGAUCACAUUCUUGGAUUUCUGGUGGAGACCAUUUCUUGGUCAAAAAUCCGUAGUGUUAGCCUUCGGUAUUAUUGAAAAUGGUCGUUCAUGGCUAUUUUCGACAAAAAUGGGGGUUGUGUGGCCAUUGAUCAUCGACCAGAGGCUCGUACACCUCACCCACAUAUGUUUCCUUGCCAUAGAUCACAUUCUUGGAUUUCUGGUGGAGACCAUUUCUUGGUCAAAAAUCCGUAGUGUUAGCCUUCGGUAUUAUUGAAAAUGGUCGUUCAUGGCUAUUUUCGACAAAAAUGGGGGUUGUGUGGCCAUUGAUCAUCGACCAGAGGCUCGUACACCUCACCCCACAUAUGUUUCCUUGCCAUAGAUCACAUUCUUGGAUUUCUGGUGGAGACCAUUUCUUGGUCAAAAAUCCGAUGUGUUAGCCUUCGGUAUUAUUGAAAAUGGUCGUUCAUGGCUAUUUUCGACAAAAAUGGGGGUUGUGUGGCCAUUGAUCAUCGACCAGAGGCUCAUACACCUCACCCACAUAUGUUUCCUUGCCAUAGAUCACAUUCUUGGAUUUCUGGUGGAGACCAUUUCUUGGUCAAAAAUCCGUAGGUGUUAGCCUUCGGUAUUAUUGAAAAUGGUCGUUCAUGGCUAUUUUCGACAAAAAUGGGGGUUGUGUGGCCAUUGAUCAUCGACCAGAGGCUCGUACACCUCACCCCACAUAUGUUUCCUUGCCAUAGAUCACAUUCUUGGAUUUCUGGUGGAGACCAUUUCUUGGUCAAAAAUCCGUAGGUGUUAGCCUUCGGUAUUAUUGAAAAUGGUCGUUCAUGGCUAUUUUCGACAAAAAUGGGGGUUGUGUGGCCAUUGAUCAUCGACCAGAGGCUCAUACACCUCACCCACAUAUGUUUCCUUGCCAUAGAUCACAUUCUUGGAUUUCUGGUGGAGACCAUUUCUUGGUCAAAAAUCCGUAGUGUUAGCCUUCGGUAUUAUUGAAAAUGGUCGUUCAUGGCUAUUUUCGACAAAAAUGGGGGUUGUGUGGCCAUUGAUCAUCGACCAGAGGCUCGUACACCUCACCCCACAUAUGUUUCCUUGCCAUAGAUCACAUUCUUGGAUUUCUGGUGGAGACCAUUUCUUGGUCAAAAAUCCGUAGUGUUAGCCUUCGGUAUAUUGAAAAUGGUCGUUCAUGGCUAUUUUCGACAAAAAUGGGGGUUGUGUGGCCAUUGAUCAUCGACCAGAGGCUCGUACACCUCACCCCACAUAUGUUUCCUUGCCAUAGAUCACAUUCUUGGAUUUCUGGUGGAGACCAUUUCUUGGUCAAAAAUCCGUAGUGUUAGCCUUCGGUAUUAUUGAAAAUGGUCGUUCAUGGCUAUUUUCGACAAAAAUGGGGGUUGUGUGGCCAUUGAUCAUCGACCAGAGGCUCGUACACCUCACCCACAUAUGUUUCCUUGCCAUAGAUCACAUUCUUGGAUUUCUGGUGGAGACCAUUUCUUGGUCAAAAAUCCGUAGUGUUAGCCUUCGGUAUUAUUGAAAAUGGUCGUUCAUGGCUAUUUUCGACAAAAAUGGGGGUUGUGUGGCCAUUGAUCAUCGACCAGAGGCUCGUACACCUCACCCCACAUAUGUUUCCUUGCCAUAGAUCACAUUCUUGGAUUUCUGGUGGAGACCAUUUCUUGGUCAAAAAUCCGUAGUGUUAGCCUUCGGUAUUAUUGAAAAUGGUCGUUCAUGGCUAUUUUCGACAAAAAUGGGGGUUGUGUGGCCAUUGAUCAUCGACCAGAGGCUCAUACACCUCACCCCACAUAUGUUUCCUUGCCAUAGAUCACAUUCUUGGAUUUCUGGUGGAGACCAUUUCUUGGUCAAAAAUCCGUAGUGUUAGCCUUCGGUAUUAUUGAAAAUGGUCGUUCAUGGCUAUUUUCGACAAAAAUGGGGGUUGUGUGGCCAUUGAUCAUCGACCAGAGGCUCGUACACCUCACCCACAUAUGUUUCCUUGCCAUAGAUCACAUUCUUGGAUUUCUGGUGGAGACCAUUUCUUGGUCAAAAAUCCGUAGUGUUAGCCUUCGGUAUUAUUGAAAAUGGUCGUUCAUGGCUAUUUUCGACAAAAAUGGGGGUUGUGUGGCCAUUGAUCAUCGACCAGAGGCUCAUACACCUCACCCCACAUAUGUUUCCUUGCCAUAGAUCACAUUCUUGGAUUUCUGGUGGAGACCAUUUCUUGGUCAAAAAUCCGUAGGUGUUAGCCUUCGUAUUAUUGAAAAUGGUCGUUCAUGGCUAUUUUCGACAAAAAUGGGGGUUGUGUGGCCAUUGAUCAUCGACCAGAGGCUCGUACACCUCACCCCACAUAUGUUUCCUUGCCAUAGAUCACAUUCUUGGAUUUCUGGUGGAGACCAUUUCUUGGUCAAAAAUCCGAUGUGUUAGCCUUCGGUAUUAUUGAAAAUGGUCGUUCAUGGCUAUUUUCGACAAAAAUGGGGGUUGUGUGGCCAUUGAUCAUCGACCAGAGGCUCAUACACCUCACCCACAUAUGUUUCCUUGCCAUAGAUCACAUUCUUGGAUUUAUGGUGGAGACCAUUUCUUGGUCAAAAAUCCGUAGGUGUUAGCCUUCGUGUCAUUGAAAAUGGUCGUUCAUGGCUAUUUUCGACAAAAAUGGGGGUUGUGUGGCCAUUGAUCAUCGACCAGAGGCUCGUACACCUCACCCCACAUAUGUUUCCUUGCCAUAGAUCACAUUCUUGGAUUUCUGGUGGAGACCAUUUCUUGGUCAAAAAUCCGUAGUGUUAGCCUUCGGUAUUAUUGAAAAUGGUCGUUCAUGGCUAUUUUCGACAAAAAUGGGGGUUGUGUGGCCAUUGAUCAUCGACCAGAGGCUCGUACACCUCACCCCACAUAUGUUUCCUUGCCAUAGAUCACAUUCUUGGAUUUCUGGUGGAGACCAUUUCUUGGUCAAAAAUCCGUAGUGUUAGCCUUCGGUAUUAUUGAAAAUGGUCGUUCAUGGCUAUUUUCGACAAAAAUGGGGGUUGUGUGGCCAUUGAUCAUCGACCAGAGGCUCGUACACCUCACCCCACAUAUGUUUCCUUGCCAUAGAUCACAUUCUUGGAUUUCUGGUGGAGACCAUUUCUUGGUCAAAAAUCCGAAUGUGUUAGCCUUCGGUAUUAUUGAAAAUGGUCGUUCAUGGCUAUUUUUGACAAAAUGGGGGUUGUGUGGCCAUUGAUCAUCGACCAGAGGCUCAUACACCUCACUGCACAUAUGUUUCCUUGCCAUAGAUCACAUUCUUGGAUUUAUGGUGGAGACCAUUUCUUGGUCAAAAAUCCGUAGGUGUUAGCCUUCGGUAUUAUUGAAAAUGGUCGUUCAUGGCUAUUUUUGACAAAAAUGGGGGUUGUGUGGCCAUUGAUCAUCGACCAGAGGCUCGUACACCUCACCUCACAUAUGUUUCCUUGCCAUAGAUCACAUUAUCGGAUUUCUGGUGGAGACCAUUUCUUGGUCGAAAAUCCAUACGUGUUAGCCUUCGGUAUUAUUGAAAAUGGUCGUUGAUCACUAUUUUCGACAAAAAUGGGCGUUGUGUGGCCAUUGAUCAUUGGCCAGAGGCCCAUACACCUCACCCCACAUAUGUUUCCUUGCCAUAGAUCACAUUCUUGGAUUUAUGGUGGAGACCAUUUCUUGGUCAAAAAUCCGUAGGUGUUAGCCUUCAGUGUCAUUGAAAAUGGUCGUUCAUGGCUAUUUUCGACAAAAAUGGGGGUUGUGUGGCCAUUGAUCAUCGACCAGAGGCUCGUACACCUCACCUCAUGUUGGGGACUUGUUCUCAAAUGCUAAGAGUUAAGAACAAGGCAACAUAAAAAGUGUUAAAUGUUAAAGUCCUUCGUCCUUCAAAACAUUAUGUCCCUUCGGAUAUAAUGAAUUCCGGACGAAGGUUAUGAAGGAAAAACCCUUCGCAAGCUCGAUAGAUGAUAAGAAAGAAUUCAUACAUGAAAUACGAAUAAUAAUACAGAUAUUAUCAUCAACUCAUUUUUAUUUGCAUUAUCAUAUUUGUAAUAACAAAUUAUAAAUGUACCUUCGAAUUGACGGAAAGCAAAGGUACAAGCGUGAUGUAAAAAGCGAAUGCCAAGUCAGCCUGAACAGUACGGGAGUACUGUUCAUCUAUUUAUAGGCGCGGGACGCAGCCCGUGUAGAAUUACAUUAAUGCCCUUUACAUUUAUCAAUAACUCUAUAAUAAUUCUUCGAGGUCUAAUUUGGCUUUUCAUCUUUAAGUCGGUUCCUCUUUUCUGCCGUCAUGCCGAAGCUUUUCUGCGCAUAGCUUCGUGAUCAUCUUAUCCUUCGUCAUGAUCGCCUUCCGUCCCACUCAAGCUUCGUCUUGACCAGACACUUGUAUACCCAUAAUCUGACGUCCGAAGAUACCUGUUCACAUAUUUCACUUGGAAAACAUUGUCAAAUCAUGUUUUUGAGGACCUUCGGAAGCCGAAGGCCCCCAACAGUAGCCCCUCGCAAUAUUAAUUUUGCUGGAAUGAUAAAUUCAUAUUGCGACAUGGACGAAGGCUUUAAGCCGAAGGUCCGAAAAAACACCUUCCCUUUGCUAGAAUAGCAACAGUCUUUGACAAGCGGGACCCUCCAGUUUUCGACGCACUGGGUGUAUAAAUAAAAGCUCAACACGAUUUUAUUUGGCACGCUCUCUUGCCAUCUGCUCUUGCUCACCCGACUUUUAGCCUGUGCGCAACAACUAUUGCUUGGCUUUUUUAGACUUUUAAGCUUCGGUUCUGGGAGCACUUUCUCAGCGUUUGCGAAGAUGUCUGAAGAUAAGAAAGCUGUUGCUGAAUCAAAGCUGAGCCUUUCUGAGGAGAUGCAUCUCGGCUUUCUUCAGUCAAUAGCAAAGACCAAUACGGAGAAGAUCACUAGGGAGACCUUGGAGGGUUUAUCUGAAGAUACUGGUGUGACAGUUAUGAAGUAGAAAGUGGGGGUGAAGACUCCGAAGAUCGACCGUGGCGACCAAGUCACACAGUCUUCGGAAAAUCGAGCAUUAAACAGAGUCAUCUUGAUACCAUGAAGGGAAGGUAUUUUCGAGACAUGUCUAUUGUGAGGGCAGAUGAUGGGGAGAAGACUGUGCCUACUCCCGAAGAGAAUGAAGUCGUAAUCUUCCGAAGCUUCUUGAAGGCUGGACUGCGAUUUCCCUUGAGCAAUUUUGUCGUGGAAGUACUGAAGAUAUUUGAAGUCUACUUUCACCAACUUACUCCCGAAUCAAUCAUAAGAAUGGGCAUUUUCGUCUGGGCCGUGAGGAGCCAAGGUUUAGAACCAAAUGCAAAAAGUUUCUGCAAUAUACAUGAGUUAUUGUACGAGACGAAACCUUGGGGUAAAGAGCAGUAUCACAACAAUUUUGGCUGCUACAGCUUCGGCGCCCGAUUUGGGUCAAGCUGUCCCGUGCCAACCUUUCGGAAAAGAUGGCCCGACAACUGGAUGACAGAAUGGUUUUAUGUGAAGAAUGAUUUAAAAACUCGGGAAGAUAUUAAAGGUAUCAUUAUGCGCCCUAUUUGGCAACGCUUCGGCCUUCGGAGGCCGAAGGUGGAGAUGGAUGAAACAGCCGAAGAAUGCCAAAGAGCCUUCGGCGCAGUGUGCUCUUUUAUUGGGACAAGGGAUUUAAUGCAAGAACACAUUGCCUUCAGAGUAUGGCCACUUGCAGAUAACUGGGAAAUGCCGAAGGAAACCGUCAAGGAACCUGAUGAAGGUGGACUAGUCAGGCUAAAAUACACAUUCAAGUACGGAGAUAAGUUCGUUGAGCCAGAUGAUGACUGGUUGAAAAGUAUUGAGGCCAUAAGCGAUGAAUUGCUUGGAUUAUACUCAAAAGCCGAAGACACUGCACUGUCAGCAGCCUUCGGAGGCCGAAAGAAGAAGAGACUCAAUCGAGUAUUUGAUGCAAUUGGGUUUGUCUACCCUGACUAUCGCUAUCCAACGCGGGGUCAAAAAAGAAAGAAUACACCUUCUGCGAAGGAAGUUGCUUCGGCCGCUCCUAGCGAGCCGGCGCCGAAGAGAAAAAGGGUCAAGGUUCUCACACACCGGCCACGCUAUAUUGAACUGGCCACAGUGCCUGAAUAUGUCGGUGAAACCUCUGCGGCCACCGAAGCCAAGGAGCCUACUCUCCUACCGAAUGUUGAAGAGCCAAUUAUAAUACCGGAAAUGAAGAAAAUAGAAGAACCGGAGGCUACGGAAACAAGGACACAUGAAAUUUUAAGUCCUUUAGCAAAAAUUGAGGCAGCAAAAAGCCAAAAGGGUCCAGCAGUGACCCCCAAAAGAAAAAGGAUGGUUAAUGUGCUGGAUGUUUUGGAGACAAUUAAGUCUUCAAGUAUGACUCCGAAGAAAAUUGUUGAAACUUCCGAAGUGCACACUGAAACCUUUGCUGCCGAAGCUUCAAAGAACCAGGCAGAAACUGAAGCUGGGCCUUCAGAGCCCGCCAAGGUGAAAUCCUUGGAAGCUGAAGAAACAGAAAUAUCAGAGCCAAUUUUGGUUGAAGAAACUGGUGCUGCUGCCCCCGAAGCAUCCUCCAAAGCCCUCGAUUAUAUUGUACGACAUGCUUCGGGAAAAAGAUUAUCUGAAGAAGAGAUUUUUGAAGCUAAUCACUAUGCCCGAGAACUGAAGUAUCCAAAGGGGGCCUUAGUAUUCAAUGGCACAGACGAAGAUGACUUCUUAUACUGCCUCCCAGACAACAAAGAAUUAUCUGUCUGCCGGGAGAUGGCUAGAAGUAUGGGGUUCCCGAAGCUUGAAGCUGGCCUCUGCGCGAUGACGAAGGACGAUCUUGCAGAUAGCCUCGCAUAUAAUAGUCUGAAGGUAUGAAAAUUGUAUAUUUGGAAGCUUAUAAAUUUUGAAUUAUCCUUUUAUUCUUAUACUAAUUCUUUUCAUAUAGGGUUUAAUUCUUAGCAACGCUUUGAGAGCGCAAAAGAAUGCCGAAGACGAGAGCUAUAAUAUCGCUUUCAACAACCUACGAACAGAGGUUAUUAAGCUGAGGAACGAAGCUUUGGAAAAAGAUAAAAUUCUGCUUACAUUGGUGGAUAAGAUAAAGGAAGACGAAGCUACUUCUAAAGCUCAAGCUGAGGCUCAAAAGCGCGAAAUUGAGGAUCUUCGGAAACAGCUAGCCAGAGCUAAAGAAGAACGCACACUUGAAGAGACGAAACGAGAACUUAGUGAUCAGUGGGCAAAUCAUUUAGAAAGAAACGUUGAAGAGCUUCGUGCAUCCAAGAAAAGGUGCUAUGACAAAUCUAUAGAAUGUGCUAAGAAAAUAAAAUCCAGCUUCGCCAGCGUUGGCGCAUUCUCGAGCAAAGAAAACUUCACAAGGGACAACCCCGAAGGCCCGAUUGAAUGGAUUAGUCACGAAGCUGAGGCCUUUGAGGAAAUUUUGAAUAGCCGCGGAGACAUAUGUGCCUUUUCGGGUGCCAGGGGGAUUGCUACUAUUUUGGAGAGGAAAGGCUGUGAGCAUGUGAAAUUUUUGGCACAAUUCGAAACUGCCUUAUCCUCCGAAGAUAUAAAAGACCCCUCGGCCGAAGCAAGCCUGGUCGGUGGAAAAUUUUUCACCGACGUCUGGGACAAUGGUGGCGGGAAAUGGCCCAAGAAAUUAUUCAAAAAAGCGAAAAAGGCAUCCAUGAUGCUAGAAAAGUAGCAGAGGCCGCUGAGAAAAGCGCAGAGCCCGAAGGGCAAAUAGGUAUUAAUUAGUGGUUUUUGACUCUUCGUUGUAAUUUUUUGAUUUCGAACUUGUUCACGGUUUGUAAUAGUAAUAUAUCCGUAUCUUCUCUUCCCUCAGAACCUGCUGAGCUAUCUCCGGGCCCCCACACGAAGGGGGAUGACGAAAUUAGACAAAUGGCCGAAGCCAUAAUGGAUAAAGUUGUUGAUCAGCUACUAAACGAAGCUGCAGAAGUAGUCCUAAGGGAAGAUUAGAUGCUGUUGUAAAAACAUUUAGAAUGUAAUGUUUGUUGAGAAUCAUGUGUAAUAUUGUGCAACUUUGGAUGUAAUAUAUUAGCUGUUUAUAAUUCUAUUUUUUACGAUGCAUGAAACAUCAUAUACAUACCGUUUUUGAGCCUUCGGCGAAAAAACACCUUCCCUUCUUUUCAUGCUUCGUAAAAAUCAGUAAUCAAUCCUCGUAAAAUCAAUAAUCAAUAGAUCCUUCCAUUUCAGAGUUUGACGAAGGUAUAACUUUUCAAUGGCUAUUUUUGUGCCUUGUCACUAUUUCUUCAAAACAAUCUUCGAAUAUCAAUAUCGAGACCCCCCUUCUUGCGUUGUUGAUGCACUAUGAUGUAUGAUGUUAUGCUAUGCAAAUGAUGUAAUGAUGUGAUGUUGUGCAAAAUGAUAUUUGCCGAAGGUUGACAUUUAUUUUUCACUGUAAGCCUCCCUUAGGAGCUUCUUCGCCUUUUACUUCAGCGGAAUCAGCGUUUAUUUUUCGCUGUAAGCCUCCCUUAGGAGCUUCUUCGCCUUUUACUUUCAGCGGAAUCAGCGCUUAUUUUUCGCUGUAAGCCUCCCUUAGGAGCUUCUUCGCCUUUUACUUUCAGCGGAAUCAGCGUUUAUUUUUCACUGUAAGCCUCCCUUAGGAGCUUCUUCGCCUUUUACUUUCAGCGGAAUCAGCGUUUAUUUUUCGCUGUAAGCUCUGCAUUCCCUUCGGAACGACUUUUGAGCAGAAAACUUACACUGCGCUCCCUUAGGAACGACUUUUUGCUGCUUCGAAGAAAUUGCACUGCGUUCCUUAGAACAAAUUUUUGAUAAUUCGAAGGUCCUCCGUGCCACCAUAAAUUCUUAUGCUUCGGCAACUCAAGCCUAUGGAGAAGAUAUAUUUUCAUUAUGGUAAAAAGCGAAACUGUUACAAGAGAUUGAAAAACGAUAAAAAACACUUAAACUUCCCAUAAUUGUUCCUUAUUAAAAAGAAAGUAAUACUGAAUGCGAAAAUGCGAAAAGCUGCUGUCGAGGUAGGAUAUUUGUCAGUAAAUGUGCUUCGACUCUGGCACAGUGCUAUUGACUGUGCGAGCUUCGGACUCUUCUCUGAAGUCCCGCUGGAGGUGAGUGUGCUGACUCCCUUCUGGCUGCUGACCUCGUUGUGUUGGUGAUUGCCUACAUAUUCUGGAAUGUAAGGCGAAUGGUACGAAGCAGUAUGCAUGACCUGCUUCGGCUGACUCUGUUGUGCUGCAGCUUCUGCUAUCUCCUUUUGCUUCUGGAUGGUAACAUGGCACAUCCUGGUGGUAUGGCCCUUGUCUUCACCACAGAAUAAGCAGUAAAUUUUCUUGGUUGAUCCCCAAAUCUUCCCCCGAAGCCCCUGGCGCCUCUGCCCCUUGGCGCUGGCGGUCGGAAAGAACUUUGCUGCUGCCCCGAAGCUUGCGAGGAGUACUGUGGCCUUUGCUGUUGACUCCCUCUAUCAUCACUUUGAGUAGAAUUGUGAAUUGACCUGACGUGCCUCGGAUGGAAUCUUCCUCCGAAGCCCCUGGUCAUUUCAGAGAACCUGAAUGCUUCCUCCCUUCUUUGGCGAAAGUCAUUGUCAGCUCGAAUAUACUCGUCCAUCUUCUGGAGCAGCUUCUCCAAAGUUUGAGGAGGCUUCCUGGCAAAGUAUUGAGCUGAAGGUCCCGGCCGAAGUCCCUUAAUCAUGGCCUCAAUGACAAUUUCAUUGGGCACUGUUGGUGCCUGUGCCCUCAGACGCAGGAACCUUCGGACAUACGCCUGAAGGUAUUCUUCGUGGUCCUGGGUGCACUGGAAUAAAGCUUGAGCAGUGACCGGCUUCGUCUGAAACCCUUGGAAGCUAGUUAUCAACAUGUCCUUCAGCUUUUGCCAUGAGGUGAUUGUUCCUGGCCGAAGAGAGGAGUACCAGGUUUGUGCAACACUCUUGACGGCCAUGACAAAAGACUUUGCCAUGACUGCAGUAUUGCCACCAUACGAAGAUAUGGUUGCUUCAUAGCUCAUCAAGAAUUGCUUCGGGUCUGAAUGACCGUCGUACAUGGGGAGCUGGGGUGGCUUGUAAGACUGGGGCCAUGGUGUAGCCUGCAGUUCUGUUGACAGAGGAGAAGCAUCAUCAAAAGCAAAAUUUCCAUGAUGGAAAUCUUCAUACCAGUCGUCCUCGUUGUAGAAGCCCUCCUGAUGAAGCUCUCUGCGCGGAGGCCUUCGGUCAGCUAGACGAGCCAUCUUUUCCUUCUUUCGUUGAACCUGUUGGUGGAGCAUCUCCAAGUUUUGGAUUUCUUGAUCCAAGUCAUCCUCCGGAGGCGUUGGACUGGUGGCCUUCCUCUUCUGGCUUCGGGCCUCCCUAAGAGAAAGGACAUCCUGAUUGGGAUCCAGCGGCUGUAGAGUGGCAGCCCCUGUGGCUGAAGCUUUCUUCGGCGGCAUGACGAAGGUGAUGCUUGCCGAAGGUGUUCAAAACUCAAAAAAUGGACGUGAGUUCACCGGAGGUGGGCGCCAAUGUUGGGGACUUGUUCUCAAAUGCUAAGAGUUAAGAACAAGGCAACAUAAAAAGUGUUAAAUGUUAAAGUCCUUCGUCCUUCAAAACAUUAUGUCCCUUCGGAUAUAAUGAAUUCCGGACGAAGGUUAUGAAGGAAAAACCCUUCGCAAGCUCGAUAGAUGAUAAGAAAGAAUUCAUACAUGAAAUACGAAUAAUAAUACAGAUAUUAUCAUCAACUCAUUUUUAUUUGCAUUAUCAUAUUUGUAAUAACAAAUUAUAAAUGUACCUUCGAAUUGACGGAAAGCAAAGGUACAAGCGUGAUGUAAAAAGCGAAUGCCAAGUCAGCCUGAACAGUACGGGAGUACUGUUCAUCUAUUUAUAGGCGCGGGACGCAGCCCGUGUAGAAUUACAUUAAUGCCCUUUACAUUUAUCAAUAACUCUAUAAUAAUUCUUCGAGGUCUAAUUUGGCUUUUCAUCUUUAAGUCGGUUCCUCUUUUCUGCCGUCAUGCCGAAGCUUUUCUGCGCAUAGCUUCGUGAUCAUCUUAUCCUUCGUCAUGAUCGCCUUCCGUCCCACUCAAGCUUCGUCUUGACCAGACACUUGUAUACCCAUAAUCUGACGUCCGAAGAUACCUGUUCACAUAUUUCACUUGGAAAACAUUGUCAAAUCAUGUUUUUGAGGACCUUCGGAAGCCGAAGGCCCCCAACACCUCACAUAUGUUUCCUUGCCAUAGAUCACAUUCUUGGAUUUAUGGUGGAGACCAUUUCUUGGUCAAAAAUCCGUAGGUGUUAGCCUUCCGUGUCAUUGAAAAUGGUCGUUCAUGGCUAUUUUCGACAAAAAUGGGGGUUGUGUGGCCAUUGAUCAUCGACCAGAGGCUCGUACACUUUACCCCACAUAUGUUUUCUUGCCAUUGAUCACAUUCUUGGAUUUCUGGUGGAGACCAUUUCAUGGUCAAAAAUCCGUACGUGUUAGCCUUCGGUAUUAUUGAAAAUGGUCAUUCAUGGCUAUUUUCGACAAAAAUGGGGGUUGUGUGGCCAUUGAUCAUUGACCAGAGGCUCAUAAACCUCACCCCACAUAUGUUUCCUUGCCAUAGAUAACAUUCUUUUAUUUCUGGUGGAGACCAUUUCUUAGUCAAAAAUCCGAAUGUGUUAGCCUUCGGUACUAUUGAAAAUGGUCGUUCAUGGCUAUCUUCGACAAAAAUAAGGGUUGUGUGGCCAUUGAUAUUCGACCAGAGGCUCAUACACCUCACUACAAAUAUGUUUCCUUGCCAUAGAUCACAUUCUUGGAUUUAUGGUGGAGACCAUUUCUUGGUCAAAAAUCUGUGAGUGUUAGCCUUCAACGUCAUUGAAAAUGGUCGUUCAUGGCUAUUUUCGACAAAAAUGGGGGUUGUGUGGCCAUUGAUCAUCGACCAGAGGCUCGUACACCUCACCCCACAUAUGUUUCCUUGCCAUAGAUCACAUUCUUGGAUUUCUGGUGGAGACCAUUUCUUGGGCAAAAAUCUGAAUGUGUUAGCCUUCGGUAUUAUUGAAAAUGGUCAUUCAUGGCUAUUUUCGAGAAAAAUGGGGGUUGUUUGGCCAUUGAUCUUCGACCAGAGGCUCAUACACCUCACUACACAUAUGUUUCCUUGCCAUAGAUCACAUUCUUGGAUUUAUGGUGGAGACCAUUUCUUGGUCAAAAUUCCGGAGGUGUUAGCCUUCAGUGUCAUUGAAAAUGGUCGUUCAUGGCUAUUUUCGACAAAAAUGGGGGUUGUGUGGCCAUUGAUCAUCGACCAGAGGCUCGUACACCUCACCCCACAUAUGUUUCCUUGCCAUAGAUCACAUUCUUGGAUUUCUGGUGGAGACCAUUUCUUGGUCAAAAAUCCAUACGUGUUAGCCUUCUGUAUUAUUGAAAAUGGUCGUUGAUCGCUAUUUUAGACAAAAAUGGGCGUUGUGUGGCCAUUGAUCAUCGACCAGAGGCCCAUACACCUCACCCCACAUAUGUUUCCUUGCCAUAGAUCACAUUCUUGGAUUUAUGGUGGAGACCAAUUCUUGGUCAAAAAUCCGUAGGUGUUAGCCUUCAGUGUCAUUGAAAAUGGUCGUUCAUGGCUAUUUUCGACAAAAAUGGGGGUUGUGUGGCCAUUGAUCAUCGACCAGAGGCUCGUACACCUCACCCCACAUAUGUUUCCUUGCCAUAGAUCACAUUUUGGAUUUCUGGUGGAGAACAUUUCUUGGUCAAAAAUCCGUAGGUGUUAGCCUUCGGUAUUAUUGAAAAUGGUCGUUCAUGGCUAUUUUCGACAAAAAUGGGGGUUGUGUGGCCAUUGAUCAUCGACCAGAGGCUCAUACACCUCACCCCACGUAUGUUUCCUUGCCAUAGAUCACAUUCUUGGAUUUCUGGUGGAGACCAUUUCUUGGUCAAAAAUCCGUAGGUGUUAGCCUUCGGUAUUAUUGAAAAUGGUCGUUCAUGGCUAUUUUCGUCUAAAAUGGGGGUUGUGUGGCCAUUGAUCAUCGACCAGAGGCUCGUACACUUUACCCCACAUAUGUUUUCUUGCCAUUGAUCACAUUCUUGGAUUUCUGGUGGAGACCAUUUCUUGGUCAAAAAUCCGUACGUGUUAGCCUUCGGUAUUAUUGAAAAUGGUCAUUCAUGGCUAUUUUCGACAAAAAUGGGGGUUGUGUGGCCAUUGAUCAUUGACCAGAGGCUCAUAAACCUCACCCCACAUAUGUUUCCUUGCCAUAGAUCACAUUCUUUGAUUUCUGGUGGAGACCAUUUCUUAGUCAAAAAUCCGAAUGUGUUAGCCUUCGGUACUAUUGAAAAUGGUCGUUCAUGGCUAUCUUCGACAAAAAUAAGGGUUGUGUGGCCAUUGAUAUUCGACCAGAGGCUCAUACACCUCACUACAAAUAUGUUUCCUUGCCAUAGAUCACAUUCUUGGAUUUAUGGUGGAGACCAUUUCUUGGUCAAAAAUCUGUGAGUGUUAGCCUUCAACGUCAUUGAAAAUGGUCGUUCAUGGCUAUUUUCGACAAAAAUGGGGGUUGUGUGGCCAUUGAUCAUCGACCAGAGGCUCGUACACCUCACCCCACAUAUGUUUCCUUGCCAUAGAUCACAUUCUUGGAUUUCUGGUGGAGAACAUUUCUUGGUCAAAAAUCCGUAGGUGUUAGCCUUCGGUAUUAUUGAAAAUGGUCGUUCAUGGCUAUUUUCGACAAAAAUGGGGGUUGUGUGGCCAUUGAUCAUCGACCAGAGGCUCAUACACCUCACCCCACGUAUGUUUCCUUGCCAUAGAUCACAUUCUUGGAUUUCUGGUGGAGACCAUUUCUUGGUCAAAAAUCCGUAGGUGUUAGCCUUCGGUAUUAUUGAAAAUGGUCGUUCAUGGCUAUUUUCGUCUAAAAUGGGGGUUGUGUGGCCAUUGAUCAUCGACCAGAGGCUCGUACACUUACCCCACAUAUGUUUCUUGCCAUGAUCACAUUCUUGGAUUUCUGGUGGAGACCAUUUCUUGGUCAAAAAUCCGUACGUGUUAGCCUUCGUAUUAUUGAAAAUGGUCAUUCAUGGCUAUUUUCGACAAAAAUGGGGGUUGUGUGGCCAUUGAUCAUCGACCAGAGGCUCAUAACCUCACCCCACAUAUGUUUCCUUGCCAUAGAUCACAUUCUUGAUUUCUGGUGGAGACCAUUUCUUGUCAAAAAUCCGAUGUGUUAGCCUUCGGUACUAUUGAAAAUGGUCGUUCAUGGCUAUUUCGACAAAAAUGGGGUUGUGUGGCCAUUGAUAUCGACCAGAGGCUCAUACACCUCACCACAUAUGUUUCCUUGCCAUAGAUCACAUUCUUGGAUUUAUGGUGGAGACCAUUUCUUGGUCAAAAAUCUGUAGUGUUAGCCUUCAGUCAUUGAAAAUGGUCGUUCAUGGCUAUUUUCGACAAAAAUGGGGGUUGUGUGGCCAUUGAUCAUCGACCAGAGGCUCGUACACCUCACCCCACAUAUGUUUCCUUGCCAUAGAUCACAUUCUUGGAUUUCUGGUGGAGACCAUUUCUUGGUCAAAAAUCCGAAGUGUUAGCCUUCGGUAUUAUUGAAAAUGGUCGUUCAUGGCUAUUUUCGACAAAAAUGGGGGUUGUGUGGCCAUUGAUCAUUCGACCAGAGGCUCAUACACCUCACACACAUAUGUUUCCUUGCCAUAGAUCACAUUCUUGGAUUUAUGGUGGAGACCAUUUCUUGGUCAAAAAUCCGUAGGUGUUAGCCUUCAGUUAUUGAAAAUGGUCGUUCAUGGCUAUUUUCGACAAAAAUGGGGGUUGUGUGGCCAUUGAUCAUCGACCAGAGGCUCGUACACCUCACCCCACAUAUGUUUCCUUGCCAUAGAUCACAUUCUUGGAUUUCUGGUGGAGACCAUUUCUUGGUCAAAAAUCCGUAGUGUUAGCCUUCGUAUUAUUGAAAAUGGUCGUUCAUGGCUAUUUUCGACAAAAAUGGGGUUGUGUGGCCAUUGAUCAUCGACCAGAGGCUCAUACACCUCACCCCACAUAUGUUUCCUUGCCAUAGAUCACAUUCUUGGAUUUAUGGUGGAGACCAUUUCUUGGUCAAAAAUCCGUAGGUGUUAGCCUUCGAUAUUAUUGAAAAUGGUCGUUCAUGGCUAUUUUCGACAAAAAUGGGGGUUGUGUGGCCAUUGAUCAUCGACCAGAGGCUCGUACACCUCACCCCACAUAUGUUUCCUUGCCAUAGAUCACAUUCUUGGAUUUCUGGUGGAGACCAUUUCUUGGUCAAAAAUCCGUAGGUGUUAGCCUUCGGUAUUAUUGAAAAUGGUCGUUCAUGGCUAUUUUCGACAAAAAUGGGGGUUGUGUGGCCAUUGAUCAUCGACCAGAGGCUCAUACACCUCACCCCACAUAUGUUUCCUUGCCAUAGAUCACAUUCUUGGAUUUCUGGUGGAGACCAUUUCUUGGUCAAAAAUCCGUAGGUGUUAGCCUUCGGUAUUAUUGAAAAUGGUCGUUCAUGGCUAUUUUCGACAAAAAUGGGGGUUGUGUGGCCAUUGAUCAUCGACCAGAGGCUCGUACACCUCACCUCACAUAUGUUUCCUUGCCAUAGAUCACAUUCUUGGAUUUAUGGUGGAGACCAUUUCUUGGUCAAAAAUCCGUAGGUGUUAGCCUUCCGUGUCAUUGAAAAUGGUCGUUCAUGGCUAUUUUCGACAAAAAUGGGGGUUGUGUGGCCAUUGAUCAUCGACCAGAGGCUCGUACACCUCACCCCACAUAUGUUUCCUUGCCAUAGAUCACAUUCUUGGAUUUCUGGUGGAGACCAUUUCUUGGUCAAAAAUCCGAUGUGUUAGCCUUCGGUAUUAUUGAAAAUGGUCGUUCAUGGCUAUUUUCGACAAAAAUGGGGUUGUGUGGCCAUUGAUCAUCGACCAGAGGCUCAUACACCUCACCCACAUAUGUUUCCUUGCCAUAGAUCACAUUCUUGGAUUUAUGGUGGAGACCAUUUCUUGGUCAAAAAUCCGUAGUGUUAGCCUUCGUGUCAUUGAAAAUGGUCGUUCAUGGCUAUUUUCGACAAAAAUGGGGGUUGUGUGGCCAUUGAUCAUCGACCAGAGGCUCGUACACCUCACCCCACAUAUGUUUCCUUGCCAUAGAUCACAUUCUUGGAUUUCUGGUGGAGACCAUUUCUUGGUCAAAAAUCCGUAGUGUUAGCCUUCGGUAUUAUUGAAAAUGGUCGUUCAUGGCUAUUUUCGACAAAAAUGGGGUUGUGUGGCCAUUGAUCAUCGACCAGAGGCUCAUACACCUCACCCACAUAUGUUUCCUUGCCAUAGAUCACAUUCUUGGAUUUAUGGUGGAGACCAUUUCUUGGUCAAAAAUCCGUAGGUGUUAGCCUUCAGUGUCAUUGAAAAUGGUCGUUCAUGGCUAUUUUCGACAAAAAUGGGGGUUGUGUGGCCAUUGAUCAUCGACCAGAGGCUCGUACACCUCACCCCACAUAUGUUUCCUUGCCAUAGAUCACAUUCUUGGAUUUCUGGUGGAGACCAUUUCUUGGUCAAAAAUCCGAUGUGUUAGCCUUCGGUAUUAUUGAAAAUGGUCGUUCAUGGCUAUUUUCGACAAAAAUGGGGUUGUGUGGCCAUUGAUCAUCGACCAGAGGCUCAUACACCUCACCCACAUAUGUUUCCUUGCCAUAGAUCACAUUCUUGGAUUUAUGGUGGAGACCAUUUCUUGGUCAAAAAUCCGUAGGUGUUAGCCUUCAGUGUCAUUGAAAAUGGUCGUUCAUGGCUAUUUUCGACAAAAAUGGGGGUUGUGUGGCCAUUGAUCAUCGACCAGAGGCUCGUACACCUCACCCCACAUAUGUUUCCUUGCCAUAGAUCACAUUCUUGGAUUUCUGGUGGAGACCAUUUCUUGGUCAAAAAUCCGUAGGUGUUAGCCUUCGGUAUUAUUGAAAAUGGUCGUUCAUGGCUAUUUUCGACAAAAAUGGGGGUUGUGUGGCCAUUGAUCAUCGACCAGAGGCUCAUACACCUCACCCCACAUAUGUUUCCUUGCCAUAGAUCACAUUCUUGGAUUUCUGGUGGAGACCAUUUCUUGGUCAAAAAUCCGUAGGUGUUAGCCUUCGGUAUUAUUGAAAAUGGUCGUUCAUGGCUAUUUUCGACAAAAAUGGGGGUUGUGUGGCCAUUGAUCAUCGACCAGAGGCUCAUACACCUCACCCCACAUAUGUUUCCUUGCCAUAGAUCACAUUCUUGGAUUUCUGGUGGAGACCAUUUCUUGGUCAAAAAUCCGUAGGUGUUAGCCUUCGUAUUAUUGAAAAUGGUCGUUCAUGGCUAUUUUCGACAAAAAUGGGGUUGUGUGGCCAUUGAUCAUCGACCAGAGGCUCAUACACCUCACCCCACAUAUGUUUCCUUGCCAUAGAUCACAUUCUUGGAUUUCUGGUGGAGACCAUUUCUUGGUCAAAAAUCCGUAGGUGUUAGCCUUCGGUAUUAUUGAAAAUGGUCGUUCAUGGCUAUUUUCGACAAAAAUGGGGUUGUGUGGCCAUUGAUCAUCGACCAGAGGCUCGUACACCUCACCCACAUAUGUUUCCUUGCCAUAGAUCACAUUCUUGGAUUUCUGGUGGAGACCAUUUCUUGGUCAAAAAUCCGUAGUGUUAGCCUUCGUAUUAUUGAAAAUGGUCGUUCAUGGCUAUUUUCGACAAAAAUGGGGGUUGUGUGGCCAUUGAUCAUCGACCAGAGGCUCAUACACCUCACCCCACAUAUGUUUCCUUGCCAUAGAUCACAUUCUUGGAUUUCUGGUGGAGACCAUUUCUUGGUCAAAAAUCCGUAUGUGUUAGCCUUCGGUAUUAUUGAAAAUGGUCGUUCAUGGCUAUUUUCGACAAAAAUGGGGUUGUGUGGCCAUUGAUCAUCGACCAGAGGCUCAUACACCUCACCCACAUAUGUUUCCUUGCCAUAGAUCACAUUCUUGGAUUUCUGGUGGAGACCAUUUCUUGGUCAAAAAUCCGUAGUGUUAGCCUUCAGUAUUAUUGAAAAUGGUCGUUCAUGGCUAUUUUCGACAAAAAUGGGGGUUGUGUGGCCAUUGAUCAUCGACCAGAGGCUCGUACACCUCACCCCACAUAUGUUUCCUUGCCAUAGAUCACAUUCUUGGAUUUCUGGUGGAGACCAUUUCUUGGUCAAAAAUCCGAUGUGUUAGCCUUCGGUAUUAUUGAAAAUGGUCGUUCAUGGCUAUUUUCGACAAAAAUGGGGUUGUGUGGCCAUUGAUCAUCGACCAGAGGCUCAUACACCUCACCCACAUAUGUUUCCUUGCCAUAGAUCACAUUCUUGGAUUUAUGGUGGAGACCAUUUCUUGGUCAAAAAUCCGUAGGUGUUAGCCUUCAGUUUAUUGAAAAUGGUCGUUCAUGGCUAUUUUCGACAAAAAUGGGGGUUGUGUGGCCAUUGAUCAUCGACCAGAGGCUCGUACACCUCACCCCACAUAUGUUUCCUUGCCAUAGAUCACAUUCUUGGAUUUCUGGUGGAGACCAUUUCUUGGUCAAAAAUCCGUAGUGUUAGCCUUCGGUAUUAUUGAAAAUGGUCGUUCAUGGCUAUUUUCGACAAAAAUGGGGUUGUGUGGCCAUUGAUCAUCGACCAGAGGCUCAUACACCUCACCCCACAUAUGUUUCCUUGCCAUAGAUCACAUUCUUGGAUUUCUGGUGGAGACCAUUUCUUGGUCAAAAAUCCGUAGGUGUUAGCCUUCGUAUUAUUGAAAAUGGUCGUUCAUGGCUAUUUUCGACAAAAAUGGGGGUUGUGUGGCCAUUGAUCAUCGACCAGAGGCUCAUACACCUCACCCCACAUAUGUUUCCUUGCCAUAGAUCACAUUCUUGGAUUUCUGGUGGAGACCAUUUCUUGGUCAAAAAUCCGUAGGUGUUAGCCUUCGGUAUUAUUGAAAAUGGUCGUUCAUGGCUAUUUUCGACAAAAAUGGGGGUUGUGUGGCCAUUGAUCAUCGACCAGAGGCUCAUACACCUCACCCACAUAUGUUUCCUUGCCAUAGAUCACAUUCUUGGAUUUCUGGUGGAGACCAUUUCUUGGUCAAAAAUCCGUAGGUGUUAGCCUUCGGUAUUAUUGAAAAUGGUCGUUCAUGGCUAUUUUCGACAAAAAUGGGGGUUGUGUGGCCAUUGAUCAUCGACCAGAGGCUCGUACACCUCACCCCACAUAUGUUUCCUUGCCAUAGAUCACAUUCUUGGAUUUCUGGUGGAGACCAUUUCUUGGUCAAAAAUCCGUAGGUGUUAGCCUUCGGUAUUAUUGAAAAUGGUCGUUCAUGGCUAUUUUCGACAAAAAUGGGGGUUGUGUGGCCAUUGAUCAUCGACCAGAGGCUCGUACACCUCACCCCACAUAUGUUUCCUUGCCAUAGAUCACAUUCUUGGAUUUCUGGUGGAGACCAUUUCUUGGUCAAAAAUCCGUAGGUGUUAGCCUUCAGUAUUAUUGAAAAUGGUCGUUCAUGGCUAUUUUCGACAAAAAUGGGGGUUGUGUGGCCAUUGAUCAUCGACCAGAGGCUCGUACACCUCACCCCACAUAUGUUUCCUUGCCAUAGAUCACAUUCUUGGAUUUCUGGUGGAGACCAUUUCUUGGUCAAAAAUCCGUAGGUGUUAGCCUUCGUAUUAUUGAAAAUGGUCGUUCAUGGCUAUUUUCGACAAAAAUGGGGUUGUGUGGCCAUUGAUCAUCGACCAGAGGCUCAUACACCUCACCCCACAUAUGUUUCCUUGCCAUAGAUCACAUUCUUGGAUUUCUGGUGGAGACCAUUUCUUGGUCAAAAAUCCGUAGGUGUUAGCCUUCGUAUUAUUGAAAAUGGUCGUUCAUGGCUAUUUUCGACAAAAAUGGGGUUGUGUGGCCAUUGAUCAUCGACCAGAGGCUCAUACACCUCACCCCACAUAUGUUUCCUUGCCAUAGAUCACAUUCUUGGAUUUCUGGUGGAGACCAUUUCUUGGUCAAAAAUCCGUAGGUGUUAGCCUUCAGUGUCAUUGAAAAUGGUCGUUCAUGGCUAUUUUCGACAAAAAUGGGGGUUGUGUGGCCAUUGAUGAUCGACCAGAGGCUCGUACACCUCACCCCACAUAUGUUUCCUUGCCAUAGAUCACAUUCUUGGAUUUCUGGUGGAGACCAUUUCUUGGUCAAAAAUCCGUAGGUGUUAGCCUUCGGUAUUAUUGUAAAUGGUCGUUCAUGGCUAUUUUCGACAAAAAUGGGGGUUGUGUGGCCAUUGAUCAUCGACCAGAGGCUCAUACACCUCACCCCACAUAUGUUUCCUUGCCAUAGAUCACAUUCUUGGAUUUCUGGUGGAGACCAUUUCUUGGUCAAAAAUCCGUAGGUGUUAGCCUUCAGUAUUAUUGAAAAUGGUCGUUCAUGGCUAUUUUCGACAAAAAUGGGGUUGUGUGGCCAUUGAUCAUCGACCAGAG